This 867-nucleotide ribosomal RNA is filed under the name uncultured fungus. RNAcentral describes it as "LSU rRNA". It matches the Rfam family "Eukaryotic large subunit ribosomal RNA", at positions 77 to 966 of the family's 3401-position model. The record is from RNAcentral. Lineage: Eukaryota; Fungi.
GCCCUAGUAACGGCGAGUGAAGCGGCAACAGCUCAAAUUUGAAAUCUGGCUCUUUGGGGGUCCGAGUUGUAAUUUGCAGAGGAUGCUUUGGCAUUGGCGGCGGUCUAAGUUCCUUGGAACAGGACAUCACAGAGGGUGAGAAUCCCGUACGUGGUCGCCUGCCUUUGCCGUGUAAAGCUCCUUCGACGAGUCGAGUUGUUUGGGAAUGCAGCUCUAAAUGGGAGGUAAAUUUCUUCUAAAGCUAAAUACCGGCCAGAGACCGAUAGCGCACAAGUAGAGUGAUCGAAAGAUGAAAAGUACUUUGGAAAGAGAGUCAAAAAGCACGUGAAAUUGUUGAAAGGGAAGCGCUUGCAGCCAGACUUGCCCGCAGUUGCUCACCUAGGCUUUGGCCUGGGGCACUCUUCUGCGGGCAGGCCAGCAUCAGUUUGGGCGGUUGGAUAAAGGCCUCUGUCACGUAUCUUCCUUCGGGUGACCUUAUGGGGAGGCGUAAUGCAACCGCCCGGACUGAGGUCCGCGCAUCUGCUAGGAUGCUGGCGUAAUGGCUGUAAGCGGCCCGUCUUGAAACACGGACCAAGGAGUCUAACAUCUAUGCGAGUGUUUGGGUGUCAAGCCCGGGCGCGCAAUGAAAGUGAACGGAGGUGGGAACCCUUUGGGUGCACCAUCGACCGAUCCUGAUGUCUUCGGAUGGAUUUGAGUAAGAGCAUAGCUGUUGGGACCCGAAAGAUGGUGAACUAUGCUUGAAUAGGGUGAAGCCAGAGGAAACUCUGGUGGAGGCUCGCAGCGGUUCUGACGUGCAAAUCGAUCGUCAAAUUUGGGCAUAGGGGCGAAAGACUAAUCGAACCAUCUAGUAGCUGGUUCCUGCCGAAG